Molecule: long non-coding RNA, 883 nt
Organism: Cryptotermes secundus
Lineage: Eukaryota; Metazoa; Arthropoda; Insecta; Blattodea; Kalotermitidae
Exons: 3
Source: RefSeq, a predicted model, not a curated record
GCAUCACAUGAUCACACAGUGGCGCUAGCAAAUGGAACAGCUGCAAGUUAAAGUUCAGGCCGUUCAUCCAUUAUUUGUGGUUUAUGAUUUUGGGCUGGUGUGUGUCAUUCCUUUGGGUCUGGAAGGAAUAUCAUGAUGAUGAUGGAUCAUCGGGUGACUGGCGAGAUGAUGGUGCAGCAGCGUCUUGUUUGAAAAUGAGCUGCCUCUCCACAUACAUGAGGGGCUGAAGUGACUGGUGGUCUUCCAUGUUCAUUGGACAUAUGCACAGCAAGAUCUUGCAUAGUUAAUAGAAACUUAAGGGGGAAGAUGACUGUUUUUCAGCAGGCUUAUAAAGAGGUGAUCCAAGACCUGAGAGGGAACAAUGUGCAGGGAACUGAAAUACAGUGAAACCCUCAUCAGUGCUCUUUGACAUGAGAUUAACCUUAGGUAACAUUCGAUUUUGAUGACCUGUCAGUAACCUCAUUGUUAAAUUACAAGCAUGCAAGAAUCCACUUCUUGGCAAAGAGACCUUGAAUGGGAGAUUCACUGUGUGCAGACCUGCAUCUGUAUGCCGUUGUAUCCAUCACCACUCACAGAAACAUGCCUCUCCAUAUGUCAGGGGAAGUCUGGAUGAGGAUCUCCAGCACUGGAAGAAGUGCAGCAGUUGCAUAAGAGGUUCAUCUGCCAGUGCUACAGACGGUGCGAUGGGUAAACUACCUCAUCAUUUUCCGCCACAAGAUACCGGUCUUGCAACAUUAGCCUUAGAAAUGUAUGUCUGAUAAAUAUAGAUUAAUAUCCCUUUAGGUAUCAUUAUUAUGAUGCUUGAAGUGUGAGUUGGCCUAAAUGAAUGACCUGUAUUUGAAUUAUAUAUAAGAAAUUUUGAACCGUGCAACGGUUCUUCUCU